Molecule: ribosomal RNA, 496 nt
Filed under: uncultured bacterium
Lineage: Bacteria
Description: partial 16S ribosomal RNA
Rfam family: Bacterial small subunit ribosomal RNA
Source: RNAcentral
AUGCACGCUGGCGGCGUGCCUAAUACAUGCAAGUCGAGCGAACAGACGAGGAGCUUGCUCCUCUGACGUUAGCGGCGGACGGGUGAGUAACACGUGGAUAACCUACCUAUAAGACUGGGAUAACUUCGGGAAACCGGAGCUAAUACCGGAUAAUAUAUUGAACCGCCUGGUUCAAUAGUGAAAGACGGUUUUGCUGUCACUUAUAGAUGGAUCCGCGCCGCAUUAGCUAGUUGGUAAGGUAACGGCUUACCAAGGCAACGAUGCGUAGCCGACCUGAGAGGGUGAUCGGCCACACUGGAACUGAGACACGGUCCAGACUCCUACGGGAGGCAGCAGUAGGGAACCUUCCGCAAUGGGCGAAAGCCUGACGGAGCAACGCCGCGUGAGUGAUGAAGGUCUUCGGAUCGUAAAACUCUGUUAUUAGGGAAGAACAAAUGUGUAAGUAACUAUGCACGUCUUGACGGUACCUAAUCAGAAAGCCACGGCUAACUACGUG